AUCUACCUAAAGAAUAGUUAAUGUGACUUCCAGAACUCCUGUUUUGGAAUUCAGGGAAAAGGUACCGUGUCAGCAAAAAUGGAGGGAGGGAUUGGCUCUGCCUGGGUAAUGGAAGAAAUGUCAGUGCUGGCCUCACAGAGCCCUGGAUGCUCUCCCGGGGUUUAGAGAAGACGCUACUGCCCACCACUAACGCUUAGCAGGAA
Molecule: long non-coding RNA, 203 nt
Organism: Lontra canadensis (Northern American river otter)
Lineage: Eukaryota; Metazoa; Chordata; Mammalia; Carnivora; Mustelidae
Exons: 3
Source: RefSeq, a predicted model, not a curated record